GGUGAGUAACACGUGGAUAACCUACCUAUAAGACUGGGAUAACUUCGGGAAACCGGAGCUAAUACCGGAUAAUAUUUUGAACCGCAUGGUUCAAAAGUGAAAGACGGUCUUGCUGUCACUUAUAGAUGGAUCCGCGCUGCAUUAGCUAGUUGGUAAGGUAACGGCUUACCAAUGCAACGAUGCAUAGCCGACCUGAGAGGGUGAUCGGCCACACUGGAACUGAGACACGGUCCAG
Molecule: ribosomal RNA, 235 nt
Filed under: uncultured Staphylococcus sp.
Lineage: Bacteria; Bacillati; Bacillota; Bacilli; Caryophanales; Staphylococcaceae
Description: partial 16S ribosomal RNA
Rfam family: Bacterial small subunit ribosomal RNA
Source: RNAcentral